AUUGAACGCUGGCGGCAUGCCUUACACAUGCAAGUCGAACGGCAGCACGGGUGCUUGCACCUGGUGGCGAGUGGCGAACGGGUGAGUAAUACAUCGGAACAUGUCCUGUAGUGGGGGAUAGCCCGGCGAAAGCCGGAUUAAUACCGCAUACGAUCUACGGAUGAAAGCGGGGGACCUUCGGGCCUCGCGCUAUAGGGUUGGCCGAUGGCUGAUUAGCUAGUUGGUGGGGUAAAGGCCUACCAAGGCGACGAUCAGUAGCUGGUCUGAGAGGACGACCAGCCACACUGGGACUGAGACACGGCCCAGACUCCUACGGGAGGCAGCAGUGGGGAAUUUUGGACAAUGGGCGAAAGCCUGAUCCAGCAAUGCCGCGUGUGUUAAGAAGGCCUUCGGGUUGUAAAGCACUUUUGUCCGGAAAGAAAUCCUUGGCCCUAAUACGGUCGGGGGAUGACGGUACCGGAAGAAUAAGCACCGGCUAACUACGUG
This 486-nucleotide ribosomal RNA is filed under the name uncultured bacterium. RNAcentral describes it as "partial 16S ribosomal RNA". It matches the Rfam family "Bacterial small subunit ribosomal RNA", at positions 30 to 507 of the family's 1533-position model. The record is from RNAcentral.